GGUUGCGAUCAUACCAGCACUAAUGCACCGGAUCCCAUCAGAAUUCCGCAGUUAAGCGUGCUUGGGCGAGAGUAGUACUAGGAUGGGUGACCCUCUGGGAAGUCAUCGUGUUACACCCU
RNAcentral lists this ribosomal RNA (119 nucleotides) under Helianthus annuus (common sunflower). The record is from RNAcentral. Lineage: Eukaryota; Viridiplantae; Streptophyta; Magnoliopsida; Asterales; Asteraceae.